Molecule: ribosomal RNA, 122 nt
Filed under: Vitis vinifera (wine grape)
Lineage: Eukaryota; Viridiplantae; Streptophyta; Magnoliopsida; Vitales; Vitaceae
Source: RNAcentral
GGGUGCGAUCAUACCAGCACUAAUGCACCGGAUCCCAUCAGAACUCCGCAGUUAAGCGUGCUUGGGCGAGAGUAGUACUGGGAUGGGUGACCUCCUGGGAAGUCCUCGUGUUGCACCCCUUC